Molecule: ribosomal RNA, 839 nt
Filed under: Fusarium oxysporum f. sp. radicis-lycopersici
Lineage: Eukaryota; Fungi; Ascomycota; Sordariomycetes; Hypocreales; Nectriaceae
Description: partial large subunit ribosomal RNA
Rfam family: Eukaryotic large subunit ribosomal RNA (bases 1-171)
Source: RNAcentral
UUCUUCCACGGCGCUCGAAGCGCGUCGUGGUAUUUCGCGUAUNGUAAUUUCAACACGAGCGGGGUCAAAUCCUUUGCAGACGACUUAGCUGUGCGAAACGGUCCUGUAAGCAGUAGAGUAGCCUUGUUGUUACGAUCUGCUGAGGGUAAGCCGUCCUUCGCCUCGAUUUCCCCAAUGGGUUCUCCGGAUUUCUGGAGACUUGUAGGGGUUGUGGGAUUUUUGAUGUGUCGUCUCCGGACGGGCGGUGCAGGGUAGUCGAGUUAGACUUGGUGGAAUUCCGUCGAUAGGAGUUCCGUCGAGUCUGGUCGGCUGUGUGUUGGACGGUGUAGGGUAGGCUGCUUGGACAUGGUCGGUUCGAGGAUCGAUUCGAGGGCCGGCCUGUCGAUGAUGUGUGAUGUAUGCGGUCUAGGGUAGGUUGGUUUGUCUUGGUUCGAUUUGAUGUCGGCUCCCGUGCAGGCCAGAGUGAGGGGGGUCCAGGGUAGGUGCAGGGUAGGCAGCUUAGAUUUGGUCGAUCUGGAGGUCGAUUCUCCGGCUGGCGGAUCUGACACUGUCGAAACGAGAUGCGAGGGGUGUAGGGUAGGCUAGUUUCGUACUUGCCAGGUUGCGAUUUGGACGAGAUAUGUGGUUUAGGGUAGGCUCUAGGGUAAGUAGAAUUCGAGUUUCGUCGCCGAUAGUUUUCUGUGGGUGUAUGGUAGGUACAGGGUAGGCAAAUCUCUCUCCGGCCAGUACUUGUCUCGUGGUCGUGAGUCGAUUUUUUUGUUUUGCCAUACUAUUGAAUUUUGCGGAAAUUCAAAAGUGGCUCGGGAGUCCCGCCUGGCGUGCGUCCGACUCGAACAUCG